RNAcentral lists this ribosomal RNA (253 nucleotides) under uncultured bacterium. Its description in RNAcentral is "partial 16S ribosomal RNA". It matches the Rfam family "Bacterial small subunit ribosomal RNA", at positions 524 to 776 of the family's 1533-position model. The record is from RNAcentral.
UACAGAGGGUGCAAGCGUUAAUCGGAGUUACUGGGCGUAAAGGGCGCGUAGGUGGUUGAUUAAGUUGUUUGUGAAAUCCCCGGGCUUAACCUGGGAACUGCAAGCGAAACUGGUCAGCUUGAGUACUGUAGAGGGUAGUGGAAUUUCCGGUGUAGCGGUGAAAUGCGUAGAGAUCGGAAGGAACACCAGUGGCGAAGGCGGCUACCUGGACAGAUACUGACACUGAGGCGCGAGAGCGUGGGGAGCAAACAGG